UUUUCUUUGCCAUUUUAAGACGGUUUUAGCGAUGCAAACGCAAGCAAGGCGAAGAACUAGUGGUGAUUUUGCUCACUGGCAUUUUCUAGUGCCUGUGUUGAGUAAAUGCAUUUGUUUCGUAUCUCUGGUUUCCGUUCGUACGAGCACAUUGCUUGGUCACUUUUUAAUGUCUAUUGAACGUUUUUAAAGCUAAUGCUUUUGACGUUAAUAUACGAAGUAGCUGUUGAAAGUUACUUCCUUCAAAAGCGAAUGUAAUUCUCUCCUAAGAAUUUUAGUACGAUAUAUAAGUUCCAGAUAUUUAUUUGAAUCAUAGAAGAGGAAAUCCAACAGCUACCCGACAAUGAAGUCGAAAAGUCGACGAGAAACGACACUGAUGGCAGAAAAGCUCCUCCUCUCCAUGGGGAUACGGGCGUGGGACACGGAGAGUCGCAGCCUGGAGAAGCAGCUGAAGGUGAAGCAGAUGAAUUUUCCGUGACAAAUGUUUUCCAACGUUUCUUGGGGGAGGUCCUCGAAAAGCCCGAAGAGGAGGACCAGAACUGGUUUUGUGGUUGCUGCAGAGGCUGGCGAUGGAAGUGCUGGUGACCCGGAAAACACAGCGAGACCUGCCCUUCUCUUUGAUCGGAGAUGUGUCGGCGGAAUCACUUCAUUAGAAAAAUAGACUAUCAGUCAAUACACAAAUAAAGGACAUGCAGAUUGUUAACUAAUUAGACAUUAAUUGUGAGAUCUGUAAAUAUUACUACAAAUUAAAUAUAAAAAUUUCUCAGUUAAUACCUAGG
This is a long non-coding RNA of Schistocerca gregaria, 776 nucleotides long. RefSeq lists it as uncharacterized. The record is from RefSeq and is a predicted model, not a curated record. Lineage: Eukaryota; Metazoa; Arthropoda; Insecta; Orthoptera; Acrididae. The transcript is spliced from 3 exons.